This is a non-coding RNA of Xylaria sp. CBS 124048, 84 nucleotides long. NCBI's taxonomy places the organism in Eukaryota, Fungi, Ascomycota, Sordariomycetes, Xylariales, Xylariaceae. The record is from the annotation of a GenBank genome assembly.
GCCCGGUUAGCUCAAUCGGUAGAGCGUGAGACUCUUAAUCUCAAGGUUGCGGGUAAGUCUCACAUUCGAAUCCCUCCUAUGGUG